AUGAACGCUGACAGAAUGCUUAACACGUGCAAGUCAACUUGAAUUUGGGUUUUUAACUUAGGUUUGGGUGGCGGACGGGUGAGUAACGCGUAAAGAACUUGCCUCACAGCUAGGGACAACAUUUGGAAACGAAUGCUAAUACCUAAUAUUAUGAUAAUAGGGCAUCCUAUAAUUAUGAAAGCUAUAAGCGCUGUGAGAGAGCUUUGCGUCCCAUUAGCUAGUUGGAGAGGUAACGGCUCACCAAGGCGAUGAUGGGUAGCCGGCCUGAGAGGGUGAUCGGCCACAAGGGGACUGAGACACGGCCCUUACUCCUACGGGAGGCAGCAGUGGGGAAUAUUGGACAAUGGACCGAGAGUCUGAUCCAGCAAUUCUGUGUGCACGAUGAAGUUUUUCGGAAUGUAAAGUGCUUUCAGUUGGGAAGAAACAAAUGACGGUACCAACAGAAGAAGUGACGGCUAAAUACGUG
This 466-nucleotide ribosomal RNA is filed under the name uncultured bacterium. RNAcentral's name for it is "partial 16S ribosomal RNA". It matches the Rfam family "Bacterial small subunit ribosomal RNA", at positions 29 to 507 of the family's 1533-position model. The record is from RNAcentral.